Small RNA from Glarea lozoyensis ATCC 20868, 290 nucleotides. It matches the Rfam family "A. fumigatus sRNA Afu_309". The record is from Rfam. Lineage: Eukaryota; Fungi; Ascomycota; Leotiomycetes; Helotiales; Helotiaceae.
UUCUUUUUUACCACAACAGAUUUGUGCCCAGUGUCCCUUCAACUUCACGGUUGUAAGGUCGCAUACUGAGGCAGUUCGAUGUCAUAUGGAGCCGCCAACCUUCACUGGUAAUUCAUGGUGUCAAUCAUCCGAUCGACAAAUCUCAGAAUGAUCGGUCCUUACGAAGCCUUGAGUUCGCUGUAAAAGGUUGAGCUCGGUGGACGAGUGUACUGAAGGUGUCAUAUUCCUAAACCCCUUCGCCGAGGCCGUCGGUCUGUGAUGCAGGGGAAAACCAUGACCUACCUACAUAA